UACGAAGGGGGCGAGCGUUAUUCGGAAUCACUGGGCGUAAAGCGUGCGUAGGCGGUUCUAAAAGUUAGAAGUGAAAGCCCAGGGCUUAACCCUGGAAUUGCUUUUAAAACUAUAGAACUAGAAUUCGGGAGAGGAUAGCGGAAUUGUCAGUGUAGCAGUGAAAUGCGUAGAUAUUGACAGGAACACCAGUGGCGUAAGCGGCUAUCUGGACCGACAUUGACGCUGAGGCACGAAAGCGUGGGGAUCAAACAGG
RNAcentral lists this ribosomal RNA (253 nucleotides) under uncultured bacterium. Its description in RNAcentral is "partial 16S ribosomal RNA". It matches the Rfam family "Bacterial small subunit ribosomal RNA", at positions 524 to 776 of the family's 1533-position model. The record is from RNAcentral.